CGAGUGAAGCGGGAAAAGCUCAAAUUUAAAAUCUGGCAGUCUCUGGCUGUCCGAGUUGUAAUCUAGAGAAGUGUUAUCCGUGCUGGACCGUGUAUAAGUCUCCUGGAAUGGAGCGUCAUAGAGGGUGAGAAUCCCGUCUUGGACAUGGACUACCAGUACAUUGUGAUGCGCUCUCAAAGAGUCGAGUUGUUUGGGAAUGCAGCUCUAAAUGGGUGGUAAAUUCCAUCUAAAGCUAAAUAUUGGCGAGAGACCGAUAGCGAACAAGUACCGUGAGGGAAAGAUGAAAAGAACUUUGGAAAGAGAGUUAAACAGUACGUGAAAUUGUUGAAAGGGAAACGCUUGAAGUCAGUCACAUUGGCCAGGGAUCAACCUAGCUCAUUUGCUUGGUGUACUUCCUGGUUAAUGGGUCAGCAUCAAUUUUGAUCAUUGGAAAAAGGUAUAGGGAAUGUGGCAUCUCCGGAUGUGUUAUAGCCCUAUAUUGUAUACAGUGAUUGGGAUUGAGGAACUCAGCAUGCCGCAAGGGCCAGGUCAUUGACCAUGUUCAUGCUUAGGAUGCUGGCAUAAUGGCUUUAAUCGACCCGUCUUGAAACACGGACCAAGGAGUCUAACAUGCCUGCAAGUAUUUGGGUGGAGAACCCAAGUGCGUAAUGAAAGUGAAAGUUGAGAUCCCUGUCAUGGGGAGCAUCGACGCCCGGACCAGAACUUUUGGGACGGAUCUGCGGUAGAGCAUGUAUGUUGGGACCCGAAAGAUGGUGAACUAUGCCUGAAUAGGGCGAAGCCAGAGGAAACUCUGGUGGAGGCUCGUAGCGAUUCUGACGUGCAAAUCGAUCGU
Molecule: ribosomal RNA, 832 nt
Filed under: Amanita praeclara
Lineage: Eukaryota; Fungi; Basidiomycota; Agaricomycetes; Agaricales; Amanitaceae
Description: partial large subunit ribosomal RNA
Rfam family: Eukaryotic large subunit ribosomal RNA
Source: RNAcentral